GUAAAUUCCAAGAUUAAUCUGAAUCACAAACAUAAUGAUAAUUGGAUGUUAGAGGAGGAAAUUUGAAUACUUACGGAAGUUAAAUGACUUAUCAUUGACUAGGAUAAUGGUGAACAUUCUUACAGCAAAACAUGGACAAGUUAAAAGCAAGAGCAAAAGGCAUAGUAAAAUUACACACACAACAGCAAAAUUUCUUCCUCAGCACUUCCAAGUGAUUCAGUCUAUGAAAAAGC
RNAcentral lists this unclassified non-coding RNA (233 nucleotides) under Hevea brasiliensis (rubber tree). The record is from RNAcentral. Lineage: Eukaryota; Viridiplantae; Streptophyta; Magnoliopsida; Malpighiales; Euphorbiaceae.